RNAcentral lists this ribosomal RNA (506 nucleotides) under uncultured bacterium. RNAcentral's name for it is "partial 16S ribosomal RNA". It matches the Rfam family "Bacterial small subunit ribosomal RNA", at positions 29 to 523 of the family's 1533-position model. The record is from RNAcentral.
AGUGAACGCUGGCGGUAGGCCUAACACAUGCAAGUCGAACGGCAGCACAGAGGAGCUUGCUCCUCGGGUGGCGAGUGGCGGACGGGUGAGGAAUACAUCGGAAUCUACUCUGUCGUGGGGGAUAACGUAGGGAAACUUACGCUAAUACCGCAUACGACCUACGGGUGAAAGCAGGGGACCUUCGGGCCUUGCGCGAUUGACUGAGCCGAUGUCGGAUUAGCUAGUUGGCGGGGUAAAGGCCCACCAAGGCGACGAUCCGUAGCUGGUCUGAGAGGAUGAUCAGCCACACUGGAACUGAGACACGGUCCAGACUCCUACGGGAGGCAGCAGUGGGGAAUAUUGGACAAUGGGCGCAAGCCUGAUCCAGCCAUACCGCGUGGGUGAAGAAGGCCUUCGGGUUGUAAAGCCCUUUUGUUGGGAAAGAAAUCCAGCUGGCUAAUACCCGGUUGGGAUGACGGUACCCAAAGAAUAAGCACCGGCUAACUUCGUGCCAGCCGCCGCGGUAA